Neoarius graeffei (lesser salmon catfish) is the source of this 1293-nucleotide long non-coding RNA. RefSeq lists it as uncharacterized. The record is from RefSeq and is a predicted model, not a curated record. The transcript is spliced from 3 exons. NCBI's taxonomy places the organism in Eukaryota, Metazoa, Chordata, Actinopteri, Siluriformes, Ariidae.
CUAUGGAAUGAGGAAGCUAAACAGAGCGCAGAGGAGCUGAAACACCACGAAGCAAACAGACACACGGUAUUUACAUCGGAGAUCACCAUUUCUAGCAAAAAAACCCGCAACCUCGUUUUCCAGAUUGAAUGGAAUACUUGAAUGAUCGGAUGAUACACGGACCGUUCUAGGAUUACAUUCCAUCGGAGGCAUUGGUGUGUGCAAGGCGCCGUUUCUCUUUCUGAUGGGAUUGAUGCAUUGGACAGAGGGCUGGGGGCCAUUUUGUCCCAGGUGGUGGAGAAAGAGGAACGCCCGUGCUGUACAUCAGCUGCAAGUUCUCGGUGCGGGAGAGCAGUUAUAGCAUGACAGAGAAGAAGUGCCUGGUCAUCAAGUGGGUGGUCCUUAUUCUUUGGUCCUGCCUAUUCAUUCUUUGUUCUAAUCGCACCCUGCUCCAGUGGCUCCACCGAAUGAAAGAUGCCAACAUGAGGGUCACUCAUGUCACUUCAGCUGUUUAAGUUUGAGGUGCUCCACAGGCCAGGAGUGCAGAUGGUGGUGGUGGAUUACCUCUCCCACCAGGGUGGGAGUCAGCUGCAGGCCGGACAGCUCCCUAGCCCGAGUUGGGUGGUGGGGGUUAUGUGGCAGCGGGGGCGUGAUCGAGCGCCAGCUGGGGAAGGAGAGAAGGCAGGUAGAACCAGCAGAUGAGGUUUUUGUGCUGUGACGAUGAGGAUCCUGGCUCCAGGGUGGGAGCGGUCAACCACAAUCUCUCCUCCCCACUUCAGGGUGGUGCUGGAAGCAUGCAGGCCCUUCAGGAAUGGCAGAUAAAAAACACAAGCAGCCCAUCAGCAGAUGACAUGCUGCAGUCUCAUUUUCUCUGUGACAUCACUGGUCAAUAAACAUGUUUCCUAUAAAAAGAGCAUUACUAUACUGACAUUUUUUCAUAUUCAUAGUUAUUGAAAUCAGCAGGCUUACCAUAUCAGUGUGAGCUGUGGGCUUGCUUCUGACUGGUGAGGAGAUCGAUGGCAGGUUCUAUCUCAGUUACAGCCAGCCUCAGAGACUGAUGCAGGUGUUGAUCUGAGAGUCUUGAUCUCAUCGAAUUUUUUAUCAGCUUCAUGCGAGAAAAAGUUUGCUCACAGAUAUAUGUGCUCCCAAAAACUGUGGACAUCUUCAUUGCAUGCUUUCUUAUGUUGGGGUAGGUCUCGUUUGGGAGGGGAGCAUAGUACUCUAUGAGACAGCUGGGGUUGAAUGCGUCUUUCGGCACAUCACAGGUCUGCAACUCAGCCAGUUCAAAUUGAAGAGAAGGCAGGGUGUCAUUAA